RNAcentral lists this transfer RNA (64 nucleotides) under Cinygmina sp. 1 YW01BF06. RNAcentral's name for it is "tRNA-Met". The record is from RNAcentral. Lineage: Eukaryota; Metazoa; Arthropoda; Insecta; Ephemeroptera; Heptageniidae.
AGAAAGAUAAGCUAAGUCUUAAGCUAAUAGGUUCAUACCCUAUCUAUGGUUACCCCUCUUUCUA